RNAcentral lists this unclassified non-coding RNA (713 nucleotides) under Trichogramma pretiosum. Its description in RNAcentral is "g-box-binding factor-like, transcript variant X2". The record is from RNAcentral. Lineage: Eukaryota; Metazoa; Arthropoda; Insecta; Hymenoptera; Trichogrammatidae.
UUACACGUGUAUGAGUGUGUCACGACUGUUUAGCUACAUUGCAAACGUUAGCCUGCGGAUAUCGUUUCUAUCAUCUGUCACGUUAAUUCCAUUCCGACUCUCGUCAAAUAAAGUCUAUCGCGUAGAUAAACGGUGAUCCAUUUUUUUACGCCAUGCUUUACUCUUAUAGUAGCAGACCGCAAGUAACGAACAUGAAUGGAAAAAGGCCUUGCCCGCAGCCUGUCAGGAGCCAUAGGCCCCAGCAGCCACAGCCAAUGGAGACAAAUCAAUCGAAUCCCCAAAAUCAACACAAUCAGCAACACCAUCAUCAACAAAAUCAGCAUCAACAGCACCAACACCAGCAACACCAACACCAACAAAAUCAACAUCAACAAGAACCGGAUCCAAAUUCACAACACUUUGAUUUGAUCAAAUACAUCUGCGAAUCUUGGAACUCUGUCCAUAAAGAGUUACACAGUUAUUCACAUGGAAACUCUUCUAAUAAUUAUAGACACCAGAGUAACGUGACGUAUUAUCAAGAACGUGAACCAAAUCCACUUAUGAAAGAACACGACCGAUACUUUUGAAAGAAUGAUUUCUAGAAAUUUCAAGAAACAAGUUUGAAGAUUUCCAUUUUUAAUCGACUUUAAAGCGUUUAACUUGGAUACAUUAUUCAAUCAAAAAGGAACACAGGGUACCCAAAGAAAUAAGAGUUCAUAGUCGUGGAUUUUAAC